RNAcentral lists this ribosomal RNA (379 nucleotides) under uncultured eukaryote. RNAcentral's name for it is "partial 18S ribosomal RNA". It matches the Rfam family "Eukaryotic small subunit ribosomal RNA", at positions 592 to 975 of the family's 1831-position model. The record is from RNAcentral.
CAAUAGCGUAUAUUAAAGUUGUUGCGGUUAAAAAGCUCGUAGUUGGAUUUCUGCCGAGGACGACCGGUCCGCCCUCUGGGUGGGUAUCUGGCUCGGCCUGGGCAUCUUCUUGGAGAACGUAGCUGCACUUGACUGUGUGGUGCGGUAUCCAGGACUUUUACUUUGAGGAAAUUAGAGUGUUUCAAGCAGGCUUACGCCUUGAAUACAUUAGCAUGGAAUAAUAAGAUAGGACCUCGGUUCUAUUUUGUUGGUUUCUAGAGCUGGGGUAAUGAUUAAUAGGGAUAGUUGGGGGCAUUCGUAUUUAACUGUCAGAGGUGAAAUUCUUGGAUUUGUUAAAGACGGACUACUGCGAANGNAUUUGCNAAGGAUGUUUNCAUUG